Molecule: non-coding RNA, 73 nt
Organism: Sphingobacteriales bacterium 50-39
Lineage: Bacteria; Pseudomonadati; Bacteroidota; Sphingobacteriia; Sphingobacteriales
Source: Rfam
GCGGAAGUAGCUCAGUUGGUAGAGCGCAACCUUGCCAAGGUUGAGGUCGCGGGUUCGAGCCUCGUCUUCCGCU